This 620-nucleotide ribosomal RNA is filed under the name uncultured Pandoraea sp. RNAcentral's name for it is "bacterial SSU rRNA". It matches the Rfam family "Bacterial small subunit ribosomal RNA", at positions 878 to 1504 of the family's 1533-position model. The record is from RNAcentral. Lineage: Bacteria; Pseudomonadati; Pseudomonadota; Betaproteobacteria; Burkholderiales; Burkholderiaceae.
GAGUACGGUCGCAAGAUUAAAACUCAAAGGAAUUGACGGGACCCGCACAAGCGGUGGAUGACGUGGAUUAAUUGAUGCAACGCGAAAAACCUUACCUACCCUUGACAUGUACGGAAUCCUGCUGAGAGGUGGGAGUGCUCGAAAGAGAACCGUAACACAGGUGCUGCAUGGCUGUCGUCAGCUCGUGUCGUGAGAUGUUGGGUUAAGUCCCGCAACGAGCGCAACCCUUGUCCAUAGUUGCUACGCAAGAGCACUCUAAGGAGACUGCCGGUGACAAACCGGAGGAAGGUGGGGAUGACGUCAAGUCCUCAUGGCCCUUAUGGGUAGGGCUUCACACGUCAUACAAUGGUCGGUACAGAGGGCUGCCAAACCGCGAGGUGGAGCUAACCCCAGAAAACCGGUCGUAGUCCGGAUCGCAGUCUGCAACUCGACUGCGUGAAGCUGGAAUCGCUAGUAAUCGCGGAUCAGCAUGUCGCGGUGAAUACGUUCCCGGGUCUUGUACACACCGCCCGUCACACCAUGGGAGUGGGUUUUGCCAGAAGUAGGUAGCCUAACCGCGAGGAGGGCGCUUACCACGGCAGGAUUCAUGACUGGGGUGAAGUCGUAACAAGGUAGCCGUA